Molecule: long non-coding RNA, 5325 nt
Organism: Eufriesea mexicana
Lineage: Eukaryota; Metazoa; Arthropoda; Insecta; Hymenoptera; Apidae
Exons: 3
Source: RefSeq, a predicted model, not a curated record
AGGUAAUACGAAAUAAAUACCACCAUCAGUUGAAUAUAGCAAGAACUUUAUAAAAGACGAGGCAGACUCACAGAUGGUUUAAGUACAUUAGUAUAUGUCUCAAAACUCUGAGAAACGUAUGACGGUUUUGCGUUCGCAUAUUUUUUUUAAUUAUUUUUUUAUUCUUUUUUUCUUUCAAAUAGAUCACACGCAUGAAAAAAGGUUGUUGCGUAAAGAGGUGUGUUUACAUCGUGCGUAAAAAGUACGAAGAUACAUCAAUCGAAAAAGAGUCAUUAGACGAAGAUAGAAGCUGAAAAAGGAAACGCUCGACUAGAUCGUUCGAUGAACUCCCUCUAGCCCUCGUGUUACGAGAUAUCGUCGAAAAUUAACAUACGUGUCUUUAAGGUGCGUUUUUUGUUCUUGUUCAGCCAUAACGACCGGAAGUUACUGCCAUUAUCGUAAAAAAUGUAAGUCCGUAUGGUUGUUGAUUGUUUUACGAAUCAUUUGUCAUUUAUCACUUGUCAAUGUUUAUCUUGUUUUUAAAAAAGCAUUCUUGUUUAUUUCUCAAUUAUACAGGAGAGAAUAUAACGAUAAAGUGGCAUGAGGAUAACAGUACCGAAAGUAUCGAUACGCAACACGAAAGAGAGAGUCUCAUCGAUAAGAAAAAACGUGACUUUCACUUCUGUUGGAGGAGAAUCAGGAAAAUAUAUCGUUAAAAUUACUGCGAGAAAAAUUAUUUCCAGCGAAGUAAUUCGCUUCGCAGGUGACCGUGGUUCGCGAACUAACACGUGAGCGGUCCUUACCGCGAAAAUGACCUAGGGAGUUGAUAUUGUUCUACGGCGUCAUUGUCCGUCAGCGCACCUCGACGUUCUUACGUGGAACUGCAGAAUUCCGUUUCGUUAGAAACUCAACGGCGAAUGAUAGAUCGGCUUUUAAGUUUCUAUCGUCAAGAUAAUCUUAGCGAUCGUUCAUCGUUCGUUAAGUCGGAUUAUGGAGCAUUUGCUAAUUAAGAAUCUGUUUUUCGUAGAUUUCGAUUGAAAGGAGAUGGGGGAAAUUAUCAAUAGGAUCAUUUAAAUACUAAGGAAAUUGAACAGAGAGAAAUAAAACAUAAAGGAAGAAAGGGAAAAGAAAAGAAACGAAGUAUUAUAUGGGAUCUAAUGAAAAAGGUAUCAUGAGACGGAUGUUUAUUUAACUUGCAAGUAAUCGCCGAAUCCCUAUAAGUUUUGCUAAAUUUUCUAGGGCUUUCUGCAAUGGAUAUGCAUCACCAGUUACAUUCUUCAUAUUUCAUAUCUGGUUUUUAAGGAAAACCGAUAACCUAGAGCCAGGCGCGAUAUUAACGUUCCUCCCCCGACUCUCGGCACCGCUGAAAAGAGUUACAGACGCGGAAUAUCGAUGGACAAAAAUUAAUUAUGCGACGCUGGAGUGGGGAAGAGCAAUAUCGGGUCAGGAACGGAGAGCGAACGGGUAAGAGGCCGAUGUCCGAUAUUUACAUAGAUCGGACAAAAGCACGGGAGUCCUUUUAUUCGUUCCAUCGCUUAGAGCUUCCCAACUUCUGCUACUUCCGUUUUAAGCCUAAAAAUUCGAAGAAAUCCGCAUGAAUAAUUCCAAGAAUACUUGCAGAAUACGGAGUUAAUCUUUCAAACUAUUCGUCAUGGAUUGCUUAACUUCGCACGCAUCGAUUUCCAUGAAGCCCAAUUGACCCAGGCUGAUGAAAAAGACCAGAAGACGACGAAACUUGGUUUAAUCGAAGGAAGAAACUACAGAUAAUAAGAGAUAAGAGAAACCGUACAGAUGAUCGUAAUAUACGGCAGUAAAAGAUUGGAAUCAAGGACGAAGUCAAAGAGAGAGAAACGAGGCUCCUUGACCCGACUGAUACGCUGAUCCUCCUCAUAAAUUCCGAGAGUGCCUACCACAGUACAGCAUAGUUAUGUAUGUACUCCGCUUGGUGUUCCGCAUUUCUCGGCGACGAUGCCCGCACUCGGCCCUCGCGAGAGUGAGUUUAAUUGACUGAAGUGCCGAGCCGAAUCGCGGGCUCGAGGACUUCGAAGCGUGUAUGGGCGCUCGUUAACAUCGACAACACGUGGGAGAUAAGAUCAGAUGAUUUGUCAAUUUCUUUUAAAGCUCCAAUCUCGUUUCGUCUAUACAUUAAGGUAUUUCAAUUCUAUAGCAUAUUAUACGUACUUAACGCACUUUCCUGAAUUAAACUGGAUAAUUAUAUGAUGUACAGGAUGAACGAGAACUCUGGAUUACUCUGUAUUUAACGAGGCGUGAAAAUUCGCAUGAUUAUUUGUUAAACCAAGUAUGCGUGCAAACGUAUUUACAGGAUGUAUCGGGUCACUUAUAACUUUGAAAAUUGGAUACCAAUUGUGACUGAAAUGCUUGCGCUAGUGCUAUUUCAGCUAUCCGAAACAUGUAGAUAUUGGAUACGCUACGUAAUCCGAAUAUUGGAUAGAGCAUUUGAUAUUCCAGGUGUCGUGCGACAUAUAUCCAGUACACCAGCACCAAUUAGAACGCGCCAAAGCGGAAAUCGCAGGUUUAUCGCGCUGACAGACACGGGGAUUUAAUCGUUCGAUCGGAUUAGGUGCGAUUGUCAGAGCUGCUGUCACGCCUGUCGCAAGCGUUUCGAUAGAAAAUUGAAAACCGUGAAACAGGAGAGUUUAGACUGGCAAGGAGGGACACACGUGAGAUUCCUGUAAACGGUUCCAUUUCUUUAAUACGUGUUCGCUUUUGUGCGGACGCGAACGUUACGAUCGAUAAAAUCUGACAAAUUACACAACAAUACAAUGACAUUAGAUACGAUCGGUCUUUUGUUGCCGAUAAAAAUCUCCUCCAACUUGAUCUGGUCGCUGUUGUUUCGGACGAAUCACCGUGUCGAUUCGCGGCCGUUUCUCGGCUAUCUUUAUACUCUGUUUAAUUAAUUUCGACUAGAACCAAGUUCGAGGAUUGUUGGCCAUUAGGCGGGAUAUCUGACAAGCCUCGGGGACGUAUCAACGUCGACGAUUCCCGUCGGUGGUCCUGUACACACGACUGUAUAUUAGAUAAGAAAACUUUGAAUCGAGGAUACUGAUGGGAAGUGCGUGCGCUGCACGAGAGAUCGCUUCCCCUAUUUUUUCUUCUCUAUUACGUUCACAGAAACGUAUUACAUGUAAGUAGAUUCUGACGAUCCUCAGCCUUCAUAGACGUAGGAUCAUCCAGGAUCGCAGGAUCGUAUCUUUCAUUCAUCGUUUCGUUAUUUUUCUUUCCCUCUCGCUUUGUUUCUUAUUUCUUUUCCUUUUUUAACUUGACAAAUACAACGUCUUCUCCAAUUCUUGCCGUAGCUCAUUGUCAUCGCGAAAUUAAAAGAAGAAGCACGGACAAAUGCAAUCUUGACGACGAUGUGAAUUUAAGUGGGCAUUAUAUUAAAAUGGAAAUAAGUUCUCGCCGCUAGCUCAGCCGGCUAUAUCUUGGAAAUCGAACAGACGGCUUGAAAUUUAGUACAGUUAUAUACAAAGUAUACAGACUCCACUACUUCAGAGGAGGGAUACAACUUUCAUGCGACGUGUCGGUUUCUCGAUCAGCGCGAUUGCUGUUUCCGGUUAAAAGCACCGGCUCGAAUUUCGCAAAUACUGUUACUUCUGUACUCUAAAAUCCAAUGCCCAGGUAACCAAAAGACACUUAGACUAAUGAAAUAAUCGAACGCUAAGAUACAAUUUUUUAUUCAAAAUUAUCUCACAAGGUUGUUAUCUUUCAGAGUCUACGUCAUCGAGAUGAAGAAUGUUCGAAAACGUCUAUUAACUACAACAAUUAAAGGAAAUUUUCGUAAUAAAGAUGGAGCGAAAUCAGAGAUAUAUCGUGGCUGAAGAUGAAGGCCAGAGAUAGAAUGAGAUAGAAAACUAGCCAGAGGAAAUUAAGGAUAUCCCUGGCUUUCGUGAAACAUCAUCAGCUUUCGCGUCGGUGCUUUUAAUCAGGCAUCACGGAACCCAACGAGUUUCGUGUGUACAAGCAAGCCCGAAUCACCUGCGGGCACACGUGCGCGGUACACGACGAUUCAUGGUGGUCUGUUAAACGUAUAUGUGGUGUGUGGACUGACGGUGGCGUAUCGACCGUCUCGUUACCGAUGUAGCUAGAUGCGGACAUUGAUGUGCACGUAUCCUUCACGUACGUCUUCCGGUGUACGUCGUUAUUUGCAGCUACGAUUACACAGGAAAUGGAGAAAGGAAUUGGAUAUGGAGUCUUCAAAUGGGACGUCAUAUCUAGACGAAGAUAUGGGAUGAGGUAGAAGGACAGGUUUCACGAAUCGCUUAUGGAAUUCCUACUGUUCCGAAGAAAAUCGAUGUUGUAAUGGAAUAAUACCAAGUACUAGCACGUAGACUUCGCUGGUUUGAAUUGUACAUUUCCUUGUCUCCAGACAGGCGUAUUCCAAGUUGAGGUAGAAGAUGAAAAGUACUGAUUUGUGAAUUACUUUAGGUGGAGAAGGAGAAGGAAGAUGUAGGACUUUCCUGGUGAAAGGAAAGUUCGCACGAUGGGGUAUCUACAUCUGUCGAGGCUUGUAUAAAGCUUUGUCCAGUAUCUGCUCUUGACUAAAGAGGAAUUGAAGAAGGAGCAAACUGCUUUGGGAUGCAGGAGUGGCGAAGCGCAGUAAGUUAUCGGUUCUUUGGGAAUAAGGUGUACGGAGAUAACGCGAAUACAAGAACAGAGGUAUUUUUAGGGGCAAAGAAGGGAAGUCGAAAGCGCAAGAGAUAAAGGGAAUACAAGAUCCGAGGGAAUUGAAAAAUCUGAAAAAGGAAUAGGAAUCGAAGCAGAUAAAUUAAAUGCUGAGCUACUUCGGAGAAGAUCCUCGACUACCGUCCCAUUUGAAAAUUGAAAGCUCAGAAAUGAAGAACAGAAAUGAUAGAUGGCAAGAGAGGUGAUGGUAAAGUAGAUGAUAAAUAGACGACGCAAGGGCUGAGAGGUGCAAUAUCGUCGAAGACCUCGCACGUAUGGUGACACUAGACUGGUACAGGUACAGUAGAACAUGGCCAGAGUGGUUGAAGAAAGGAGUGUGUACUUUCGACGAGCAAUAAACUGGAUGUUUCUUCGAUCUAGGUGCUACAUGCGGCACGUUGUUCGUGCUUCUUUCACUCUAUAUAGGGAAUAUUCGUUAAUUUCUUUCUGGUAUAACUGCACCUUCGAUCGUGUUAUCUAGAACGCGUAGUUAUAUCUCCAGAUAGGUAAUUUAUCGAUAAAACGACGACGGUUAGCUUAAUUCGUAAUUGCUAAUUUUCGAGAAACAGAAUAAUUGUACACAUAUAUGUAUCAAUGAGUGAUUCGGAAUUGUAAAAUUGAUCGACGAAUGAGAUAAAGAUAGACUUGACAUACAUACAUACA